GGAAAAUUCGGAACAGGAAAUGCGGGCGAACGUACGCGGAUGCACGCAGAAAAAUAAUCAAACACGGAUGUAACAAAUACUGAUGUAGAAUAAAUAAAUAGAGAGGUUCAGAUUUGACUUCCACGAUCGCCACAGCCUGGCGCUACCAUUAAGGGAUCAUUAACCAACGGGAUGCGUUUUAAUAUAUCGAAUUAACCAAUUAGAUGCGUAUUAAGCCAGUGAGAGGUAGUGCCGUAGUGGUAGCGGUUAGUGAACCUUUCUACUUAGUUGCUGUGGGAAUAGAGUGAGGACGAUAAAAUUCAGAAG
This is a non-coding RNA of Paramuricea clavata, 306 nucleotides long. The record is from the annotation of a GenBank genome assembly. NCBI's taxonomy places the organism in Eukaryota, Metazoa, Cnidaria, Anthozoa, Malacalcyonacea, Plexauridae.